This 508-nucleotide ribosomal RNA is filed under the name uncultured Glomus. RNAcentral describes it as "SSU rRNA". It matches the Rfam family "Eukaryotic small subunit ribosomal RNA", at positions 569 to 1078 of the family's 1831-position model. Lineage: Eukaryota; Fungi; Glomeromycota; Glomeromycetes; Glomerales; Glomeraceae. The record is from RNAcentral.
AGCAGCCGCGGUAAUUCCAGCUCCAAUAGCGUAUAUUAAAGUUGUUGCAGUUAAAAAGCUCGUAGUUGAAUUUCGGGGUCAGCAGGUUGGUCGUGCCAAUGGUAUGAACUGGCCUUGCUGAUUCCUCCCUCUUGAUGAGCCGUAAUGUCAUUAAUUUGGUGUUGCGGGGAAUCAGGACUGUUACUUUGAAAAAAUUAGAGUGUUUAAAGCAAGCAAGCGCUUGAAUACAUUAGCAUGGAAUAAUGAAAUAGGACGUUUGAUCCUAUUUUGUUGGUUUCUAGGAUUGACGUAAUGAUUAAUAGGGAUAGUUGGGGGCAUUAGUAUUCAAUUGUCAGAGGUGAAAUUCUUGGAUUUAUUGAAGACUGACUACUGCGAAAGCAUUUGCCAAGGAUGUUUUCAUUAAUCAAGAACGAAAGUUAGGGGAUCGAAGACGAUCAGAUACCGUCGUAGUCUUAACCAUAAACUAUGCCGACUAGGGAUCGGAUGAUGUUAAUUUUUUAAUGACUCA